GACGAACCGUGCGAACGUUGUUCGGAAUCACUGGGCUUAAAGGGCGCGUAGGCGGGCUGCCAAGUCUGGGGUGAAAUCCCACGGCUCAACCGUGGAACUGCCUCGGAUACUGGCGGUCUCGAGGGAGGUAGGGGCAUGCGGAACUGUGGGUGGAGCGGUGAAAUGCGUUGAUAUCCACAGGAACUCCGUUGGCGAAAGCGGCGUGCUGGACCUCUUCUGACGCUGAGGCGCGAAAGCUAGGGGAGCGAACGGG
Molecule: ribosomal RNA, 253 nt
Filed under: uncultured bacterium
Lineage: Bacteria
Description: partial 16S ribosomal RNA
Rfam family: Bacterial small subunit ribosomal RNA
Source: RNAcentral